GGGUCAGUAGGUUGGUCGUGCCACCGGUACGUACUGGUCUCACUGAUUCCUCCUUCCUGAAGAACCGUAAUGCCAUUAAUUUGGUGUUGCGGGGAAACAGGACUGUUACUUUGAAAAAAUUAGAGUGUUUAAAGCAAGCUAACGCUUGAAUACAUUAGCAUGGGAUAAUGAAAUAGGACGAUCGAUCCUAUUUUGCUGGUUUCUAGGAUUGACGUA
RNAcentral lists this ribosomal RNA (216 nucleotides) under Glomeromycotina sp. RNAcentral describes it as "partial small subunit ribosomal RNA". The stretch from base 40 to 216 matches the Rfam family "Eukaryotic small subunit ribosomal RNA", at positions 686 to 864 of the family's 1831-position model. Lineage: Eukaryota; Fungi; Glomeromycota. The record is from RNAcentral.